GACGAACGCUGGCGGCGUGCCUAAUACAUGCAAGUUGAGCGCUGAAGGUUGGUACUUGUACCAACUGGAUGAGCAGCGAACGGGUGAGUACCGCGUGGGGAAUCUGCCUUUGAGCGGGGGACAACAUUUGGAAACGAAUGCUAAUACCGCAUAAAAACUUUAAACACAAGUUUUAAGUUUGAAAGAUGCAAUUGCAUCACUCAAAGAUGAUCCCGCGUUGUAUUAGCUAGUUGGUGAGGUAAAGGCUCACCAAGGCGAUGAUACAUAGCCGACCUGAGAGGGUGAUCGGCCACAUUGGGACUGAGACACGGCCCAAACUCCUACGGGAGGCAGCAGUAGGGAAUCGUCGGCAAUGGACGAAAGUCGGACCGAGCAACGCCGCGUGAGUGAAGAAGGUUGUCGGAUCGUAAAACUCUGUUGGUAGAGAAGAACGUUGGUGAGAGUGGAAAGCUCAUCAAGUGACGGUAACUACCCAGAAAGGGACGGCUAACUACGUG
RNAcentral lists this ribosomal RNA (497 nucleotides) under uncultured bacterium. Its description in RNAcentral is "partial 16S ribosomal RNA". It matches the Rfam family "Bacterial small subunit ribosomal RNA", at positions 28 to 507 of the family's 1533-position model. The record is from RNAcentral.